CGCUGGCGGCACGCCUAAUACAUGCAAGUCGAACGAAGUAGCAAUACUUAGUGGCAGACGGGUGAGUAACAUGUAGGUAUCUUCCCUUUGGUGAGGAAUAACACGAGGAAACUUGUGCUAAUACCUCAUAAGUCUUUACGGAGAAAGCUUUAUGCGCCAUUGGAUGAGCCUGCACUUGAUUAGUUUGUUGGUGGGGUAAUGGCCUACCAAGACAAUGAUCAAUAGCUGAUUUGAGAGGAUGAUCAGCCACAUUGGGACUGAGACACGGCCCAAACUCCUACGGGAGGCAGCAGUAGGGAAUCUUGCACAAUGGAGGAAACUCUGAUGCAGCGAUGCCGCGUGAGUGAAGAAGGCCCUUGGGUUGUAAAGCUCUUUCGUCGGGGAAGAAAAUGACUGUACCCGAAUAAGAAGGUCCGGCUAACUUCGUGCCAGCAGCCGCGGUAAUACGAAGGGACCUAGCGUAGUUCGGAAUUACUGGGCUUAAAGAGUUCGUAGGUGGUUAAAAAAGUUGGUGGUGAAAUCCCAGAGCUUAACUCUGGAACUGCCAUCAAAACUUUUUAGCUAGAGUAUGAUAGAGGAAAGCAGAAUUUCUAGUGUAGAGGUGAAAUUCGUAGAUAUUAGAAAGAAUACCAAUUGCGAAGGCAGCUUUCUGGAUCAUUACUGACACUGAGGAACGAAAGCAUGGGUAGCGAAGAGGAUUAGAUACCCUCGUAGUCCAUGCCGUAAACGAUGUGUGUUAGACGUUGGAAAUUUAUUUUCAGUGUCGCAGUGAAAACAAUAAACACACCGCCUGGGGAGUACGACCG
Molecule: ribosomal RNA, 806 nt
Filed under: uncultured Pelagibacteraceae bacterium
Lineage: Bacteria; Pseudomonadati; Pseudomonadota; Alphaproteobacteria; Candidatus Pelagibacterales; Candidatus Pelagibacteraceae
Description: bacterial SSU rRNA
Rfam family: Bacterial small subunit ribosomal RNA
Source: RNAcentral